UGAGAUCAGAAGAGCCAGUUUAUAGAUCUGGGUGGAGCCAGCUGAUCCACCAAGUUCAAGCUGAAUGGUGCCUGCAACUUCUGUGACCAUUUUGCCAUGUUGGGACCAAGUGUGAAUGCAAAGUUUGCACAUAGAGGAGAACUGACCAAUCGGAGAAUGGAAAACUUCUUGAUCAUUGAUGACAGCAGUCAACCAGUGAAGCCAUCAAGCCUGGAGUUUUUCCUACUGCUGGAAUUCUUGUCAUUGCAGAAAAUCAAUGUUGUGUUCUGAUUUGGGGCAUUCUAGCUUGCAAAUAGAGGCAUCUUAGCUGACACCAAA
RNAcentral lists this long non-coding RNA (318 nucleotides) under Homo sapiens (human). RNAcentral describes it as "HSALNT0305635". The record is from RNAcentral. Lineage: Eukaryota; Metazoa; Chordata; Mammalia; Primates; Hominidae.